Molecule: unclassified non-coding RNA, 1322 nt
Filed under: Hevea brasiliensis (rubber tree)
Lineage: Eukaryota; Viridiplantae; Streptophyta; Magnoliopsida; Malpighiales; Euphorbiaceae
Source: RNAcentral
UAUAUUCAGCAGGCACUGUGUGCAAGUAGGAAAGGGGGAAUAUCCCAGGAGCUACAAAAUUGUCUGAAAAGAGAAGUUAGGCCGCGUCAUGUGUCGAUGGACCACACUGCCUUGGAGAUAACUGGAACUGAUAGACCAGGUCUGCUGUCUGAGAUUUCGGCUGUGCUUACUCAACUGGAAUGCAAUGUCACAGCAGCCGUGGCAUGGACACACAAUGCCCGAGCAGCUAGCAUAAUCUACGUGGAAGACAAGCUGAGAGGUGGACCUAUUACAGACCCAAAGAGACUUGCCCAUGUAGAAGAGCAGUUAGACACUGUGGUUGAGGCCCAUCAUGGGAGAGGGGAGAGGAGGAGCGUCAGGUUGACCACACCAGUGGCUGGGCAAGCCCAUACUGAACGGAGGCUUCACCAGUUAAUGUGUGCAAAUAUGGAUUAUGAGCCUUGUCGGGGAUGCACAGGUACGGGUGUUGCUCACCGGAGGGAUUGUACCAAAAUUCAUGUGUCAAUAGAGUCUUGCAAGGAGAAAGGGUACUCGGUGGUGAAUAUGAGAAGCAGGGAUAGGCCCAAGCUCUUAUUUGACACGUUGUGCGCAUUAACUGAUAUGCAGUAUGUGGUGUUUCAUGCUGCGGUGAGCUCUACGGGCACCAUGGCUGAUCAGGAGUAUUUCAUUCGGCAUAAGGAUGGUUUCACUUUGGAUACAGAGAGCGAAAGGCAUGAACUCACCCAAUGCUUGAUUGCUGCCAUUGAGCGGAGAGUAUCUCACGGAUUGAGGCUAGACGUAUGCACUCACAAUCGAGUGGGAUUGCUAUCAGAUGUUACACGGGUUUUUCGGGAAAAUGGCCUGUCAAUAUCAAGGGCUGAGAUUGGCACGGAAGGUAACAAAGCAGUUGGAUCAUUCUAUGUCACUGAUGCUUCAGGAGAUGAAGUUAAUUCGCGGACGAUAGAAUUAGUGAGGAAAGAGAUAGGGGGAUCUAUCCUGGUAGUUAAUAAAUCACCGGGCUGGACUCCGAGGACUCCCUCCACAGGUAAUAUUCGCCGAAGUAGCAGUGGCAGAGUAGGUGAAGAUAAGCCAAGAUUCUCAUUAGGAAGCCUAUUGUGGUCUCACCUUGAGCGGCUGUCAAACAAUUUCGGAUCCAUACGAUCAUGAGAGUUGUAAUCUCAGGAGUUGCGUCUCAUGUUGUGUACUUCAUGCAUAUUGUAAAUAAUUAAUUUUGCAUGUAAGUAGAUAAGCAGUUUGCUAGUUUCCAUGGUAAUAAUCGAGCUUCGUGUUGUUUCUUACUAUACUAUCAUCACCUUGAAUGCAAUUUAUAAUUUACAUCCAAG